This 492-nucleotide ribosomal RNA is filed under the name uncultured bacterium. RNAcentral's name for it is "partial 16S ribosomal RNA". It matches the Rfam family "Bacterial small subunit ribosomal RNA", at positions 29 to 507 of the family's 1533-position model. The record is from RNAcentral.
AGUGAACGCUGGCGGUAGGCCUAACACAUGCAAGUCGAACGGCAGCACAGUAAGAGCUUGCUCUUACGGGUGGCGAGUGGCGGACGGGUGAGGAAUACAUCGGAAUCUACUUUUUCGUGGGGGAUAACGUAGGGAAACUUACGCUAAUACCGCAUACGACCUACGGGUGAAAGCAGGGGAUCUUCGGACCUUUCGCGAUUGAAUGAGCCGAUGUCGGAUUAGCUAGUUGGCGGGGUAAAGGCCCACCAAGGCGACGAUCCGUAGCUGGUCUGAGAGGAUGAUCAGCCACACUGGAACUGAGACACGGUCCAGACUCCUACGGGAGGCAGCAGUGGGGAAUAUUGGACAAUGGGCGCAAGCCUGACCCAGCCAUACCGCGUGGGUGAAGAAGGCCUUCGGGUUGUAAAGCCCUUUUGUUGGGAAAGAAAAGCAGCAGGUUAAUACCCCGCUGUUCUGACGGUACCCAAAGAAUAAGCACCGGCUAACUUCGUG